Molecule: long non-coding RNA, 1160 nt
Organism: Cyanistes caeruleus (blue tit)
Lineage: Eukaryota; Metazoa; Chordata; Aves; Passeriformes; Paridae
Source: RefSeq, a predicted model, not a curated record
CGGGCUGAUGAGGGCGAGGGGCUUUGUCCCGGCGCGGGGACAGCGAGGCACGGCUGGGGCUGAGCCCUGCCCCGGGGUCCCCGGCACGGCAGCAGCCCCGGCACCGCUAUUUUUAGUGGGGCCGAAUUCCUGCCCGGCACCAUCCCUGCUGCAGGGACAGCUGGGGACAGCUCGGCUUUCCCCCCCUGCCCUGCCCUGGCCGGAGUAAGCGGGUGAUGAAACACGGCGGGGAUGGUCUCACUGCCCCGGCACACCGGGAUCCAGCGCGGUUGGGAAUGUCAGGGCUGAUUAAGCUGAGAAUCGGGAGCUGUGAGCCCGAUCUCCAGUCACUUGGUGAGGUCAGCUGUGACAUGCAGAGAGCAUCGCUGGGGAGCUGCUGGAGGGCACUGGAGGGCCCGCUGAAUCCAGAGAGCUGGAGGUGGAAAGGGCAAGGAGAGAUUCUCUGCUCAGCUGAGCCAGCACUCUCAGAAGCAGCUGAUGAACCCCAGCAAGGAGAUUUCAGCUCUCCGAUACAACUCAGACCCGAGUGCCAAAGGCUCUUGCAGUGUCUUUGCUGAGAGUCAGUGACAAUUCACACUUCUGGUGUGAGAAAUUUCCAGCACCGAAUGUCACUGAUGAACGCUGUGUUGGUGCUGGCAGUGAAGCUGCCUUACCUGAGCCAUUCUCAUCUUUGCCAGGAGAUCUGUGCAGUUCUGCACCUGGAGUUAUUCCAUUGACCAAAUACAAUCAAACUCGCUGCACUGGAGGCAGCAGCAGCUCAGCAGGCUGUGAAAGAACUGUACCAACUGGUGGGCAAAGGAAGCUUACCCUGCUCUUUUAAAAUGAGCUGGGUUUUCCCUUUACCGGUUUCCAGGGCUUAGAAGUGUCAGUUAAAACAGUGCUAGCAUAUCAUGUCGUGCAUGUAAAAUAUAGGGGAUUUGCAUGAAGGUUUAUUGCAAUCCAGGUACAGUUUGCACUGCCUUUAAUUUGAAAUCUGCCUUGGUGGCUGGAGUGUCCUGGUGGAGAUGGCUCUGUGCUCGGGAUGCUGACUUGUGUCUUCAGAUUGCCUCCUCAGUUCCUCACUUUGCAGUGAGCAGCUCUCUGUUUUAAGGGAAUCACUUCAGGUCUGGGCUUGCAACACAAUUUCUUUAACUAACUCAAAUAUUGAGACACGAAUCUGA